RNAcentral lists this ribosomal RNA (253 nucleotides) under uncultured bacterium. RNAcentral's name for it is "partial 16S ribosomal RNA". It matches the Rfam family "Bacterial small subunit ribosomal RNA", at positions 524 to 776 of the family's 1533-position model. The record is from RNAcentral.
UACGGAGGGGGCUAGCGUUGUUCGGAAUUACUGGGCGUAAAGCGCGCGUAGGCGGACCUGCAAGUCGGGGGUGAAAGCCCGAGGCUCAACCUCGGAACUGCCUUCGAUACUGCGGGUCUCGAGUCCGGGAGAGGUGAGUGGAAUUCCUAGUGUAGAGGUGAAAUUCGUAGAUAUUAGGAAGAACACCAGUGGCGAAGGCGGCUCACUGGCUCAGUACUGACGCUGAGGCGCGAAAGCGUGGGGAGCAAACAGG